AGGGAUCAUUACCGAGUACUAUAACUCAUAACCCUUUGUGAACCUUUAUACCUGUUGCUUCGGCGGCGCGCCUCCCGGGGCGUGCCCGCCGGCAUUAUCAGAAUCUCUGUUCGAACCCGACGAUACAUCUGAGUGUUCUAAGCGAACUGUUAAAACUUUCAACAACGGAUCUCUUGGCUCCAGCAUCGAUGAAGAACGCAGCGAAACGCGAUAUGUAAUGUGAAUUGCAGAAUUCAGUGAAUCAUCGAAUCUUUGAACGCACAUGGCGCCUUCCAGUAUCCUGGGAGGCAUGCCUGUCCGAGCGUCGUUUCAACCCUCGAGCCCCCGUGGCCCGGCGUUGGGGAUCUGCCCAGGCAGUCCCCGAAAACCAGUGGCGGACCCGUUGGGCCCUUCCUUUGCGUAGUAACAUCUGCCUCGCAUCGGGAGCCUGCGGGCUAUCCGGCCUCUAAACCCCCCUCAAGCCCGCUCCGGCGGCACCAAGGUUGACCUCGGAUCAGGUAGGAAUACCCGCUGAACUUAAGCAUAUCAAUAAGCGGAGGAAAAGAAACCAACAGGGAUUGCCUCAGUAACGGCGAGUGAAGCGGCAACAGCUCAAAUUUGAAAUCUGGCUCCUUCGGGGCCCGAGUUGUAAUUUGCAGAGGAUGCUUCGGGUACGGGUUCCUUCCGAGUUCCCUGGAACGGGACGCCAUAGAGGGUGAGAGCCCCGUCUGGUAGGACACCCAGCCCGUGUGAAGCUCCCUCGACGAGUCGAGUAGUUUGGGAAUGCUGCUCUAACGGGAGGUAUACUCCUUCCAAGGCUAAAUACCGGCUGGAGACCGAUAGCGCACAAGUAGAGUGAUCGAAAGAUGAAAAGCACUUUGAAAAGAGAGUCAAAUAGCACGUGAAAUUGUUGAAAGGGAAGCGCUCGCUACCAGACAUGGGUUCGGCGGUUCAACCGGGGCCACGCCCCGGGGCACUCCGCCGGCCCAGGCCAGCAUCAGCUUUCCGUCGGGGGCAAAGACGUCGGGAAUGUGGCUCCCCUCCGGGGGAGUGUUAUAGCCCGGCGUGUCAUACCCUUCGGGGGGCUGAGGUACGCGCUUCUGCAAGGAUGCUGGCGUAAUGGUAGCUAGUGACC
Molecule: ribosomal RNA, 1114 nt
Filed under: Hypocreales sp. P30042SNA1CC1087
Lineage: Eukaryota; Fungi; Ascomycota; Sordariomycetes; Hypocreales
Also listed under: 1 other name
Description: eukaryotic LSU rRNA
Rfam family: Eukaryotic large subunit ribosomal RNA (bases 484-1114)
Source: RNAcentral